GGGGCGGUAGCUCAGUUGGGAGAGCGUAGCGUUCGCAAUGCUAAGGUCGAGGGUUCGAUCCCCUUCCGCUCCA
Molecule: transfer RNA, 73 nt
Filed under: Planctomycetaceae bacterium
Lineage: Bacteria; Pseudomonadati; Planctomycetota; Planctomycetia; Planctomycetales; Planctomycetaceae
Description: tRNA-Ala
Rfam family: tRNA
About the family: Transfer RNA (tRNA) molecules are approximately 80 nucleotides in length. Their secondary structure includes four short double-helical elements and three loops (D, anti-codon, and T loops). Further hydrogen bonds mediate the characteristic L-shaped molecular structure. tRNAs have two regions of fundamental functional importance: the anti-codon, which is responsible for specific mRNA codon recognition, and the 3' end, to which the tRNAs corresponding amino acid is attached (by aminoacyl-tRNA synthetases). tRNAs cope with the degeneracy of the genetic code in two manners: having more than one tRNA (with a specific anti-codon) for a particular amino acid; and 'wobble' base-pairing, i.e. permitting non-standard base-pairing at the 3rd anti-codon position.
Source: RNAcentral